This 253-nucleotide unclassified non-coding RNA is filed under the name uncultured fungus. Its description in RNAcentral is "sequence contains ITS2". Lineage: Eukaryota; Fungi. The record is from RNAcentral.
AACGCACAUUGCGCCCUUUGGUAUUCCUUAGGGCAUGUCUGUUCGAGCGUCAUUUUACCCUUCAAGCUUUGCUUGGUGUUGGGCGUCUUUGUCCCCCCCUCGGCGGGGAGACUCGCCUUAAAAUCAUCGGCGUCGGUAGCCAUCCGCCUAGAGCGCAGCAGAGUUCGCGCCUCGAAGCCUGGCCAUCCGCCCGCCGCAAACCAAACCCCCCAACUUUGACCUCGGAUCAGAUAGGGAUACCCGCUGAACUUAA